UUGUCCGAAUUUGAGAUUUCUUCCGGAAGGUUUACAGCACAUCUCUACGAUUCAAGAGCUUGUUUUAUGGCCUUCGCAUGGGGACCUAGCAAGGAGAUUGAAAGGUGAAGAAAAUUACAAGAUCAAGAAUAUUUCAAAUUUGGAUAUCAGGGAAGAAAGGGAGCUGCUGUUUGAUCCCAAAUGCCCCCUCUGCUCACUACUACAUUCGAGGUAAUUCUUUAGAGAUUCGAGAUGAUAGAAAAUUCCAGCAUUUGAUCCAUGUUUGUAACUUUUGAAACAGGGGUGGCGGCUCUUAAUAAUUUGAUUGUUGCUAGCAUUUAUUCGGUAUUAUUUGGUGAAUUAUAAGGCCAUCCAAGUUUUUGCACGCGAUCAAUAUCUGACAUUUAAUCUGUAUUUUUCUUAAUUUUGUCAUGAGCCCCCGAUAUGAAGUUUGCAAUGAUAAAACAUGGGCUGCGCAAGGGAGUGACUGGUGAGUAUUGUCGCCACAUAAAUUGAGAUUAGCUUGAAAAAAAGGGUUGGGUUAGGGAAAGAAUGAGGAGGUGAAAGAAUGGGUCCUCAUAUUAAAUUUUACAAUUAUUUACUCUCUCCGCUUGGAAUAUGAAUGCAGCUACGGGUUAUGCUCCGCACUCCAAAAGGGGCACAAAGCAAAAAAAAGAAUAACAAAGCUUUCGCAUUAUGCUUAUGUGGGAAUGCAAUACAGGAACCCAAUCCACUCUAUAAUUUUUUUUUCUUUUUCUUUUUUUAAUUUUAAAAUUAUUAUUUAUUUUUUAAUAUUAUAAUAUAUAUAAAUUCACUAUUACAAUCUUAUUUAAUUUUAUAUUAUUUUUAAAAUAAUCUUUAAUUAAUUAUCAUUUUUAUAAUUCAAAUAUUUAAAAAUUAUUUAAUAUUUUUAAAAUAAAUAUAAUUAAAAAUUAAUAAAAAAAAUUUUUAUUAUUAUCUUUUUGGAAAUUUUCUUCUUGUGGGUAAAAAGAGGGUGUCUUCUCUUAUUUAUGGCUACUAUUUGAUUAAUUCAUCGACCACAAUACAUGAUUCUAUAUCAAUUUCACUCCUAUUUUCAUAUUUUAUUCUGUAUUAUUUAAUUAUCAAAUUAGUUUAAGUUAGUUUAAUUUAAGAUUAAAAAGAAAAAUAAAACAUAAAUUAACUAUAUAUAUUAUGGUUACUCACAAAUUCAAAAUUUAUAAGAGAGUAAGUUGUUCAGACUUCAGAGAGAUUAUCCGCCGUACAUCUAAAAUAAUCAAAUCAUUGUGUAAAAUCUGUUUUGGAUAUGAGCCUAUUCUCUCUCCACAAUAUCUUCUCCUGGCUUCUUUUCCUUUUUCUUUCUUUUUUUUUUUUUUUUUUGGCUUUUAAUAUGAAUAUGGACUUCCUUGGGUCAAACUUAAUUGGUUGUUUUAAGUUAAUAUGCAGGCCACUCUCGUCUGGGGUUCGGUAGCAAAAGUCCUGAAAUUGAUAGUGAUGAGUUAAGAGCCAUUUUGUCCCUUACGGCCAUAAAUAUUUCUUUAUUGUUAGAAUAUUUAGAAAAAGUUAUGGCAAAAGAAAAUCAUCUUAAAAAAAAAUUAAAGAAAUUUACUAAUUUACCCAUGAUUUUUAUUAUUAUUUAUAAAUUAAUUUUUAUAUUUUAAAAAAUAUAUUAAAACGUUAUGAUAUAAUUAAAUUAUUAAUAAAUAAAUUUUUUCAUCUUUCACUAAUUUUUUUUUUCACUAAAGAGGAAGAAUCAAAAUAUCCUUAGUGUUAAUUAAAUUUAAUUUUCUCCUAAAUCAACAGAUCUUUCUGCUUUUCUUUUUCAUCACUCAUUUCAUUUGAUUCUUCCUAUUUCAAAAUAGUUUGACAUCAAAAUCAAUAAUACUCGACCUUUCAACACAAUCCGUAAAUUUUCAUUAAAUAAACUAUAAUAUUAUCAUCUCAAGUAUGACUUGAAUAAGUGAGAGAGUCACCAACACGAAGCUCAGCAGUGCUUUCACUGCAUCCCAUAGUCCCGUUGUCAAUGUUGUAAACAAAGAAACGUUGGCAUUGUCAAAUCUAAAAAUCAAUCUCUCUCUGCUUCUAAUCAAUCUCAUUUUGGGUUUAGUUUGGAUGCCUUGAUUGAAGAAAAUUUCAGCAAUUUUCGAGUUUAUAAUUGAUUAUACUUCUUUGAUUCUAUACAUUACUUAGGUUUUUUUUUUUUUUUUACUGAUUUGGAAUUUUAUUGAUACUUUUUAGAUUUAAAAACUGGUUUUGGAUUUAUGAAUUUAAUUAAACUAUUAUUAAAAUUGAAAUUAAGAAAUGGUAUUGGUUUGAGUUGGCAAGUGUGGAUUCUCCAUAUAAAAUAAAGUUUUGAAUAAUUUAGGAUUUUAACAAAUUUCUCUCUCCAUUUAUUAUAGUUUUAAUGAAAAAAAUGUUAAAAUUUAAUGAAAAAAUUAUUUUAUUAAUCGAGAUGAAAAAUACGAAUAUUUUAAAGAGAUUUUAAAAAUAUAAUAACUGACUUAGUAAAUAUUGGUGUUAUUUAAGAAUUAAAUUAUAAAUCUCUAAAAAAUAUUACUCAUUCAAUCUUAUAAUUUUUAUCUACCUAUUUUUUUUUUGUUGUUAUUCUAAAAUUAUUGUUUAAUUUUUUUAUACAUAAUUAAUAUAUACAUGGACUAUCAUAAUUUUAUUUAAUAUUAUCUUAUUUUAAAAAUAAUUUCUUAUUAAUUAUCAAAAUAUAUCUAAAUAUUAAUAAAAUUUAAUAUCUUUUAAAAAAUAUAAUUAAAAAAUUAAUAAAAAAAUUACUUUUUUAAUUUAUAUGUAAAAAUAAAGUAAAUAAAAAUUAUAAAACGGAUGUAAUUUUAAAAUUCAAAAUGCUUAAAAUCAAGCGUGAUGUAUUUGACUUCUAAACAUUGGCCUUACAUGGAUUGUAGAAUUGAGAGCAAAUUUUUUUGAUGUAGCUGAAAUUAAAAUGACGGUGUGAUCAGAAUGAAAUUGUAUUGUGAUUAACUAAUUCUACAAGAUAAAGAAUGUGAGGUGGUUGAUAUCUACGAUAAUCACUCUGACACUCAAGUCAAUAAUUUAGAGAAUAAGGUGAAUAUAGAACUUAAAAGCAUUUGUACGAGAUAAUUGUGUACUUUUGUUUCAAUGAUCCUUUUCUUUUUAUACUAUAAGAAUAUAGAGAUAAAUAUAAUAUUUUCCGAUAAUUCGGCAAUGAUGUGGCCGGCUCGUGGGUAAGGGAUUUUCACCGGUUAAUUAAAUAAGAAUCAUGUGAUCAUAGAUGUAAAUGAGAUCUGCUGGAUUAUAACUGUUAAUAGUAACUUUCUUAUGAAAUUUUAUCAUGAAAUUAAGAUUGUGAGUUUAUCCAAUCUGAAGCUAACCUGUCCUGAAGCACCCGAGACUUUUUUCUCUUGGUUCUAGGUACUAUGGUCUUCCUUUCUAUGGAUAGAAAGGCAUAUUGAUUUAUUAGAUUUUUGUCACGUGACAUUGUCUUAUGGUGACAGCUCACUACCUACUUUAGGCGAUUAUUGUAUAAUAUCAUAGGUCCUAUAGCUGAUUUUCGAUUUUUUAAAUUCGAAGGCGAGAGUCGUUUUCAUGAUCUGAGACAUGUGACUUAUUGUUCCGGGUUGAGCGUACGAUAUCCUUACUUUUUUCCUAUUUGUCCUGCCGACUAGUCAAGUGAGGUCUAAGAUCUUGUCUGGUAAACAUUGAGUGAUAUAAUAAUAUCUUGAUGAAUAUCUAGACUCUCUCUAGCACCAACCAGCCUUGAGGAUCAUCCGGGCAUCUUCUAGUCUUUACGAACUCCUUUGCCUUUUUCAGCCCUAUCGGACUCUCGAGCAUUUUUCAGCCUUAGCAUACUUUUUCUUGCCUUGACCAGCUCUUACUAGCUUUUGGUCAUUUGUCCAACCCUGACGGACUUUCAGACAUUUUCUAGUCUUAACGAUCUCAGGCAUUUCUUAGACCUAACGUGCUUUCGGGCUUUCUUUAAUCUUGAAGAUCUUAUGGACAUUUUCUUAGCCCUGACGAGUUUCUGAGCAUCUUCAGCUCUUGCAAGCUCCUUGACAUUUUCCAAUCUUGAUGGACUUUCAUGCAUUUUUCAGCUUUAAAGAAUUUCUAAGCAUUUUCUCAAUCCUUGUGAGGUCUCUGGCCCUUUACAGUCACGACGAGUUCUUUAACCUAUGCAUUAAAUGUUUUAGAAAUUCUUUGUGAAAUGAGACUGACGUCCGGUUGGUUGGUUUGACUUAUAUCUAUUUUGAGGUCUGUUAUCAAAUAUCUUAAAAAUUUCUUGUGAAACGGAACUAAUAUCCAGUAGAUCGACAUAAUAUAUCUCCACUUUAAAGUAAGGUAUUAGAUGUUUUAAAAAAUUUUUAUAAAAUAGAACUAAUAUACAUAUAUCCGCUUUGAGCUCUGACAUUAUACGGUUGUUCUUCAAUUCGGUAUGGUUGAUAAGAGGUAGAUUCUUUACUCUGUUAGGAUGAGUAGGUUGUAUAAAUUGAUUGGGCUUGUGGAGGUUUUUUUUUUUUUUUACUUAUUAUUUUGUUUCUUCAAUCGAAAAAAAAAAAAUAAUAAGAGUAAGCCAGUAACCCAAAAAGUUAUCCCCUUAUUUUUCUGCUGUGCCUAAAAUUAUCCAAAAAUAAGGGCUGAAACUAUAACAAAAGGAAAUGCAAGCGACCGCUCUAGUGUGGGGUCCAAGUAAUUUUUUGUUAAUAUCUUUUUGGCAAUUUUCUUCUUUGGAUAAAAAUAUGUCGUCUUCUCUUAUUUCUAGCUACUAUUUGGUUAAUUCAUUGACGAAAAAUACAUAAUUCUAUUUCAGUUUCAUCUCUAAUUUCUUAAUUAAUCUUUAUUAUUUAUUCCAACCAAAUUAUUUGAGUUAAUUUAAUUUAAAAAUUUUUUUAAAAGAAAAAUCGAAUGAAUAAUACUGUUCUAUUUUUGGUUGGUGAAAGAGGUAGUCAUAAUUCACUUUGAAAAUAAAACUAAAUUGAUUUAACGAAAUCAAUGCAAUUUUUUUUUUUUAUAUAUUAUCUUAUUCAUUUGGAUUCUUAUGAAUAUAUUUAUUAAAAAAAAUAACAAUGUUUUCGUUAAAUUUUUAUUCAUUUGGAUUCUUAUGAAUAUGUUUAUUAAAAAAAUUAAUAAUGUUUUAGUUAAAUUUUUAUUCAUUUAAAUUCGGUAUAUUUAUUAAAAAAAUAUUUAGUAUAUUUAUUAAAAAAUAAUAAUAUUUUUAUAAAAUUUUUAAAGAUAUUUUUCCUAUCAAUUUUAUUUCUAUUUUAUGGGUGAAAUCAAUUCAAUUUAAAUUAACUAAAAUUAGAAUUCAAUUAAAUGGACCUGAAUGGUAAAAUUUUCAAAUUAAAAUUUUUUAAAAAAAAUUCUUUNNNNNNNNNNNNNNNNNNNNNNNNAAAAAAAAAAAAAAAAAAAAAAAAAAGACACCACUAGUUUGAUUUUGACUCCAUAAUCGGUGCUUAUUUUAUGUUGACUCCUCUCGAAAAUUUUCCAUGUUUAUUUGAUGAUGUUAAUGGAAUUUCUACUUUCAUUUUACGUAGUAUAAUUUCAGUGUAGUUGUUUUGCUCCCAUUUAAUACAAAAAACGAAAUCCUAUUUAGACAAAAAGUAAAAUGUAAACAUCGUUUAUUUCUUUUUAAAUUAAAAAUUGAUAAUUAUGAGAAUAAAAUAUGAGAUAUUUCUAAUUUAAUUAAAUAUAUUUUUCAUCAGAUUAAAUAUAUGAGUGCCAUUAGCUAUGUAUAUUAUCAUUUGAAAUUGAUUUAUCUUGUAAAUGCAUAUAUAAUUGCUCAUUCCUUUUUUUUUUUUGAAAUGGGAUAAUUGCUCAUUCUUAUUUUUACAUUGUUUAUUUUAUAAAAAAAAUUUAAUAAAUUUUUAUUAAAUUAUAUAACAUUUUAAUUUUUAAAAUAAAAUUUUUUUAAAUUAAAAAUGAAUUAAAUUUUUUUAUUCUAAAUAAAAUAAUUAUAAAAAAAUUAAUUCAAUUAAAUUUUUAUAAAAUUUUUUAUUUCAAAUAGAGGAUUAAUGUUUGCUUGAAAGUAACUUGGUAGUUUAAGACCUCAAAUUUGUGGGCAUUAAGUAUAUCAGUUCAGCGCUCUAUUGAUGUCCAUAUCAAAUAAUCAUGUUUUCCCUCUUAUAAAAUAAACUUAUUUUUUUAAAAUUUAUCUUAAAUUAUAAAUUUUUUAGAUAGUAAUUUAUUCAUUGAUUUUUAAUAUACUCAUAUUUAGUAUAUAUAUUUAAAAAAUAAAAUUUAUUAGUUUUAAAAAUAAUUUAAUAAUAGACUAAUAUUACGGCAUCAUGUAUUUUAGAUUAGAGUAUAUUAGAUCAGAGUAUAUGAAUAAGUAGAAUUAAAGGAUUGUUUACAUUCAUUUAACUUAUAUUUAAGAAUUAAUAAAUAAAUAAUAUAUUACAUUAUAUAUAAAUAAAUUUUUGGUUAAAAUUAGUUUACAUUUACAAUAGAUUUAAAUUUAAAUUGAGAUAUAAAAUCGAAAAUUUUAAUUAUAAUCGUAAUUAAAUUUAAAAAAUUUAAGUUUUUUAUUUAAUUAAAUAAAUUAUUUUAGAAUUCCCAACUAUUUGAAUAAAUUUAAAAGAUAGGGCUUGUAGUCCUAUGAAUAUAAUUGUGAUUAAAAAAAAAAGUUGAUGGACAAAAAUGACAUUUACUCUACAGAUAUUUUAUCUUAGGGUAUAUCUUCCACGCUUGAAAACGAGUACGUACACUUGACAGGUCAAGUUGAUAAAUUAUCCCGCGUUGACUCUGAUCUCAAGCUUCCUAAACCUACCCGCUCAGUUUCUCGUCAUUUUGAUCUGAUAAUCAUGCCUCUCUUCUACUCCAUUCGUAAUUCCGAUGGUGGUCUACUUGGUGAGGAGUUUUAUGGGGAGAUGGCCACAGGAGAAGCAUCAUCCGAUGCCCCUAUUGCUGCCAGAAUUCAAAAUGACCAAGGUGAGACUUCUGCUUUCGCUGCUUACAAAACUAAAUAUGAAAACCUGCCUCAUCAUCUCAAAUCCUGCCUUGAUUAUAUCUUCCUUCGUUCUAUGUGUUGGCAUAACGAUAAGGACUACGUAGUUAGGUUGUUGUUAGCUCAAGGUUUAAUACCAGAAAAACCAGGGGAGAUUAUGGAAGAUACAGCAGCAAGUAAUAUUAAGGAAUUAAUUGACCUUGGGAUGCUUCACGAAGUGUAUGGUUAUUAUAAGACAAGAUUAUCAGUCUCUAAAUUCCAUAAAAAAUCAUGCAUUACUGAAGUCGAGGAGCACGAUUUUGUUUUUAAAGCUGCGAAUUUGCCUAUACAUGCAUCCAUUACGAAUGGUGGAGAAGACCUGCCUCCUAACUUCAAAACCUUUCUAAUUCGAUCCUUGUUUGCGGAAGCUUUGGGAUCUAUAUCCUUCCAUGUAUACGAGUAUGUAUACUUCUCUCAGGUGUUUUUGCAAACUGUUUGUGCAUUGCAAUUUAUUUUGGUGUUGGAAUUGGAUGGAAGAAUAGAGUACUUACCUGAUGAAGUGGGAGAAUUGGUUCACCUCAGGUAUUUAGGCUUGAAGGAUACGGGCAUAAAGAAGCUGCCGCAUACAAUUGGUAAUCUUCAGAAACUACAAACUUUGGAGGUAACACAUUCAAAGCUGCAUCAACUACCAAUAGAAAUUCUGAAUAUUAAACAGCUGAGGCACCUUAUAUUCGACAAUCAUGUUCCAAGAGGGAUUGGAACGUUGGUAAAUCUAUAUUCACUUAUUGGUGUUUGUGCUGAUGCUGGCUUUGCCAGUGAAUUGAGUACCUUAACCCAUUUACGAAACCUUAAUAUUCGGAAUGUGGAGGAUCAUGCCAAUGAGCUAUAUGCAGCCAUUUUUAAUCUUGAAAACCUCGUCUCCCUCUCACUAAAUGUAGAAGAUGCGUACCUUGGCACACCAUUGCCUGAUUUGGAGCCAUUUUCUCCUCCACCUCAUAUUCAAGAGCUUAGUUUAUAUGGUGGCUUAAUUGAAAUGCCUAAUUGGCUUGCCUCCAUGGAAAACCUUAUCCGUCUAGAAUUAAAUCGUUCUACUCUCUUGGAGUUCCCGUCUUCUGUUCUUCAGUUUCUUCCUAAAUUAAAACAUCUCAUUUUAGAUGAUGCCUAUAAGACAAAGAUCAUUGGUAAAGAGUUUUGCAACGCAGGUGGAUAUCCGGAGCUGGAAACAUUGUUGAUAUCUUCGAAGGACCUGGUGGAGUGGACUGAGAUUGUAAAUGGGGCUUUUCCAAGUUUGAAGAAGCUUAAAUUUGAAGAUUGUCCGAAUUUGAGAUUUCUUCCGGAAGGUUUACAGCACAUCUCUACGAUUCAAGAGCUUGUUUUACUGCCUUCGCAUGGGGACCUAGCAAGGAGAUUGAGAGGUGAAGAAAAUUACAAGAUCAAGAAUAUUUCAAAUUUGCGAAUCAGGGAAGAAAGGUAGCUGCUGUUUGAUCCCAAAUGCCUCCUCUGCCCACUACAUUGGAGGUAAUUCUUUAGAGAUUCGAGAUGAU
Molecule: long non-coding RNA, 8406 nt
Filed under: Manihot esculenta (cassava)
Lineage: Eukaryota; Viridiplantae; Streptophyta; Magnoliopsida; Malpighiales; Euphorbiaceae
Description: long non-coding RNA (MESC_LNC003011)
Source: RNAcentral